This is a long non-coding RNA of Rhododendron vialii, 1663 nucleotides long. RefSeq lists it as uncharacterized. The record is from RefSeq and is a predicted model, not a curated record. The transcript is spliced from 3 exons. NCBI's taxonomy places the organism in Eukaryota, Viridiplantae, Streptophyta, Magnoliopsida, Ericales, Ericaceae.
CCCUCGACUCCAGUACGGGCACAAGGCCACAAUUGAGAGCACAGUACGCUCCUCUCCAAACCCUUCCCGACUUCCUGUCCUUCACCGGACCUCCUCGUCCUCCUCCGGCCCUCCACCUACGGCGGCGACUCGCAAAAUUCAAACGCGUUCAGAAAGUCUCUGCGUACGGGCCCCACAUAGUCGUCUGUGCAAAGAAGAUCCGUGCACAGUCACAACAAAUAUAGACGCCUACGGCAUCGUUUGCGAAAGAAGAUAAGUUCCUUAUGUCAUAAUUUCCUACUUAAAGUUUCUUCUUCCUCUUCUACCUCGCUGCAUCAACAUUCAACAGGCAUAAAGCUGCCUUGUGAAUAGGCAGUUUUCCUCCAGGAACACUGCAUAAUUUUAUGGGGAAGUUUUGCAUGAAAUGUCAGUUUGUAUAAUUGUCAUUAGUUGAUUCCUUGUUUGUUUUUUGUUGCUGGAUUUUUUGUAUUGACAAGACCUGGGCCCAAAGGCCAAAACCCAAUUUCUGUCAAUGACAUUUGCAUUCAGGUACAAGUAAGACAGUUACACAAUCAUGCAGAUUGGAAGCUAGUUGAUGGAAGAUAGCCACAUCCCAGAGCUAUCAUGGGAUUGGGCAUUGGGACCCCACAAAGAUCAAUAAUACUUCUUCCACUAGAAAAUGUACAUCCACAUUACAGAAUAAGGACACAUAAGAAAGAACAAACACAACUGACCCACAAAUGCCCAAAAACACUUCCACCCCAAUGCAUUCCACCACACCAAACCAUCUCUCUCUCUCUCUCUCCAACUUCUGGUCCAUUGUUUAAUCCUUCAGUGUGCUCCAGUUUUGGACCGUUGCAAGCUCAUCCCAGGUCCAGGUCCAACACAAUGAUUAAAAUCAUUUAUAUUUUAGAUGUCGCAAAUCAGUACUUAUGUCUUUGUAAACAAUUAGCUUUGAUUGGACAACUGCAUGUGUUAACAAGUAGUUGCGUUUGUGGAGAACAGAAAGAACGGUAAAAGUUCAGACGGUUCAUUCUAUCUUCAACAAAUAUAAGCCAUUGCCCGUUGGUGUAUCUAUCGAUGUUGGACCGCACUAAUUUUCUACGGGGACAUAUUUCUUUGCGACAUUUAAGACACUAACGGUUCUGGACCCACAAUGAUCCAAAACUGAACCGCACUGGAGGAUUUAAGCUGGAUCAGAAAUUAGGGCACGCAAGGCGGCAAGGGAAGGCCUCUCUCUGUCCGUUGCCAAACUACCUAAGCUUGGAGUGGAGUGUGGGGUUGCAUUUUUUGAACAGAUCUGCUGACACCAUUCUUUUGUUUCACUAACGUAUUAGGCCCUAUUCUUUCAACGGCCCAAAUAAUACUUAAGUCCGUUUCAGAAACCACGUGAUUCUUGCACAAAUGCUACAGGAAGCACGUGACUACCCUCGUUCUUCCCACGUGCCAAGACAACCAAACCAAAAAUCGAACCACUAUCCGUCUGGAAUUGAUUUUCACCCUUCCCUUAUUUAUAUAUAUCUACACUCUCUUUUUAAUGCAAGGGUGCACGAUGAAGUGCGCGAAUUGAGCCGCUCAAAAGUACUUUUAAUUGUUCAUAUUUGCUACAAGUAUCCUACGUAUAAGAUACUGUUUGAAAAUAGAUGAUUGACUGUAGAGAUUUAAUGGUUUGAAUUUUGUAGUA